GCGGGGGUUGCCGAGUCAGGAAAAGGCGCCGGCUUGAGGGGCCGGUCCCGUAGGGGUUCGAGGGUUCAAAUCCCUCCCCCCGCACCA
RNAcentral lists this transfer RNA (87 nucleotides) under Archaeoglobus profundus DSM 5631. RNAcentral's name for it is "tRNA-Leu (GAG) (tRNA-Leu-GAG-1-1)". It matches the Rfam family "tRNA". Rfam says of the family: Transfer RNA (tRNA) molecules are approximately 80 nucleotides in length. Their secondary structure includes four short double-helical elements and three loops (D, anti-codon, and T loops). Further hydrogen bonds mediate the characteristic L-shaped molecular structure. tRNAs have two regions of fundamental functional importance: the anti-codon, which is responsible for specific mRNA codon recognition, and the 3' end, to which the tRNAs corresponding amino acid is attached (by aminoacyl-tRNA synthetases). tRNAs cope with the degeneracy of the genetic code in two manners: having more than one tRNA (with a specific anti-codon) for a particular amino acid; and 'wobble' base-pairing, i.e. permitting non-standard base-pairing at the 3rd anti-codon position. The record is from RNAcentral. Lineage: Archaea; Methanobacteriati; Methanobacteriota; Archaeoglobi; Archaeoglobales; Archaeoglobaceae.